UGCAGAGGAAGCAGAUAGGAAAGCACCCAGGAUUUCUGUGAUAGAAGCUCAUUUGCUUAUAAUAAAGUGGUGAUGUGAGAGGCAGGCAUCUAAUUUAAUGUAUAUCUAGGAUGCAUUAAAUGCAUGUAGGAUGACUACAACUGUGUUCAGGGACAGAGGCUGGCAGCUGCCAUCCUUGUACUUUCUCUCUGCUACAUUAGAACAACAGUAUCCAGCGAGGUGGAUUUCACAGGUGUCUGGUGCCAUGGUGCUUUGAAUCUAGCACUCAGGCUCACUUGACCUUGUUGGCUAGCAGGGCUUGGAUUCCUAGAUCCAUGAGACUACAUGAGACAGUUCUUGGCCAGCUAUCACCCCUAAGGCACUGUACAGACAAUAGACUGAAACAGAUACCAGUCUUGCUGUGAAAUAGGCCUAUUUCCUUGUCCUGGAGCCUUCCCCUAAAGAUCAGGCUUCUGGUUUGAUACCUAACUAAGGACUUUUUGAGCUGCUCUCAGAGAACAGAAGCUAGUAGACAUCAUUUUCAUGUUCUGCCUCUACCUCACUCCAGCUAGCUGCUAUCUCCAAGAAAGAAAUCUUCCCUCAGUCUGAUGUUUCAGUUUGUGCAGCUGCUACCUGGGAUCAUCUCUAGAUCGUAAAUAUAUGUAACCUGAUCUCGACAGCCUGAAAUCAGCCACAGUACUUUAAAUAAUAAAGAAGUUUGGAAAAAGCUAUAAAUCGGGGUUCCUCCAACACAUCGCUAUUUGGAGAACAGGGAGUUGAAGAAUUUAAAAACGUGUGCUUGUACAGAUAUAAUGUACUAAACAAAAAGGACAAGCUUCACAAAAGAGGAAAACUUUUAAGAGGUCAACAUCCCAACAAAUUGCACCUCAGCAAUAAAAUUUUUCAAUGCCAGUGCAACCUACAGAGAGUCAGUAUGUCAAAUUACCCUAUCAGAAUACAUUUUAAGACACUUUGCUCAUUUAUUCAUCAAAUAUUGAAUCAGGAAAUUCGUUCUUAACCUGUAUACUAUUUUUCCUGCAAUAAGAGUGAAGAAAGAAAGGAAAUAAAAAUUGCUAUGAAUGGAACAAGAAUACCAUGGCUUAUGAAAAGCAGUAGAGAGCAUUCUAAGAAGAAGUAUAUGGAAUUAACAUUUGCUACAAAGGAGUUUAUGGAUAUAGCCAUUGAGAAAUAUCUGCUAUUUUCAAAGCUAAACAA
This is a long non-coding RNA of Canis lupus familiaris (dog), 1194 nucleotides long. RefSeq lists it as uncharacterized. NCBI's taxonomy places the organism in Eukaryota, Metazoa, Chordata, Mammalia, Carnivora, Canidae. The transcript has 4 exons. The record is from RefSeq and is a predicted model, not a curated record.